This 497-nucleotide ribosomal RNA is filed under the name uncultured bacterium. Its description in RNAcentral is "partial 16S ribosomal RNA". It matches the Rfam family "Bacterial small subunit ribosomal RNA", at positions 28 to 507 of the family's 1533-position model. The record is from RNAcentral.
GAUGAACGCUGGCGGCGUGCCUAAUACAUGUAAGUCGAGCGAACGGACGAGAAGCUUGCUUCUCUGAUGUUAGCGGCGGACGGGUGAGUAACACGUGGAUAACCUACCUAUAAGACUGGGAUAACUUCGGGAAACCGUAGCUAAUACCGGAUAAUAUUUUGAACCGCAUGGUUCAAAAGUGAAAGACGGUCUUGCUGUCACUUAUAGAUGGAUCCGCGCUGCAUUAGCUAGUUGGUAAGGUAACGGCUUACCAAGGCAACGAUGCAUAGCCGACCUGAGAGGGUGAUCGGCCACACUGGAACUGAGACACGGUCCAGACUCCUACGGGAGGCAGCAGUAGGGAAUCUUCCGCAAUGGGCGAAAGCCUGACGGAGCAACGCCGCGUGAGUGAUGAAGGUCUUCGGAUCGUAAAACUCUGUUAUUAGGGAAGAACAUAUGUGUAAGUAACUGUGCACAUCCUGACGGUACCUAAUCAGAGAGCCACGGCUAACUACGUG